UUUUUCUCCUGUGCUUCAUUGUCAUCACACUUUCAGAUAUUCCAGUGUUGCCUCAUGUCCAGAAGUAUCUGAACUCAGUCAGGUAUAUUGAGGAGCUACAGAAAUUUGUAGAGGAUGACAACUACAAAUUGUCACAAAAGAUUGAGCCAGGCACCAGCACACCACGAGCAAAUGCCUCCAAAGAGGAUCUGGCCAGUCAGGAGGCAUCGUCAUCCCCUCUCUGCGGCCGUAAAAGUACAGUAGCAGCUGAAGGAGCCAAAGUCGCAGCUACUCCACCCUCUCCCAGGAACCUACUGCCCCAUGGGCACAGAAAAUGCUACAGCCUGGGCUACAAGUCAGUUUUUUAUUUUUU
Thalassophryne amazonica is the source of this 352-nucleotide long non-coding RNA. RefSeq lists it as uncharacterized. The record is from RefSeq and is a predicted model, not a curated record. Lineage: Eukaryota; Metazoa; Chordata; Actinopteri; Batrachoidiformes; Batrachoididae. The transcript is spliced from 3 exons.